GUGAGGAAUAUUGGUCAAUGGGCGAGAGCCUGAACCAGCCAAGUCGCGUGAAGGAUGAAGGUUUUAUGAAUUGUAAACUUCUUUUGCAGGGGAAUAAAGUACGGUACGUGUACCGUUUUGUAUGUACUCUGCGAAUAAGGAUCGGCUAACUCCGUGCCAGCAGCCGCGGUAAUACGGAGGAUCCAAGCGUUAUCCGGAUUUAUUGGGUUUAAAGGGUGCGCAGGCGGGUUGAUAAGUCAGCGGUGAAAGUUUGCAGCUUAACUGUAAAAUUGCCGUUGAAACUGUCGAUCUUGAGUGCAAAUGAGGUAAGCGGAAUGUGUUGUGUAGCGGUGAAAUGCUUAGAUAUAACACAGAACACGGAUUGCGAAGGCAGCUUACUGGGAUGCAACUGACGCUCAUGCACGAAAGCGUGGGGAUCAAACAGGAUUAGAAACCCCGGUAGUCC
RNAcentral lists this ribosomal RNA (445 nucleotides) under uncultured bacterium. RNAcentral describes it as "partial 16S ribosomal RNA". It matches the Rfam family "Bacterial small subunit ribosomal RNA", at positions 354 to 796 of the family's 1533-position model. The record is from RNAcentral.